GACUGUGCAAAGGUAGCAUAAUCAGUUGACUCUUAAUUGGGGCCGGGAAUGAACGAAUACACGGGGAAGAGCUGUCCCUUUAGUGUUUUUGAAUUUGGUUAACAAGUGCAAAUACUUGUAUUAUUAAAUAAGACGAGAAGACCCUUGAAGCUUUAGGAAAUUCUUUUGUUGGGGCGACAGAAUUACAUUUAACUAAUUUGUUAAUACCUGAAGGUUUACAUGUGCGUUUAAGCUACUCGAGGGAUAACAGCAUAAUUUUA
Molecule: ribosomal RNA, 260 nt
Filed under: Chilostoma cyclolabris
Lineage: Eukaryota; Metazoa; Mollusca; Gastropoda; Stylommatophora; Helicidae
Description: partial 16S ribosomal RNA
Rfam family: Archaeal large subunit ribosomal RNA
Source: RNAcentral